This 1500-nucleotide long non-coding RNA is filed under the name Olea europaea (common olive). Its description in RNAcentral is "long non-coding RNA (OEUR_LNC005917)". The record is from RNAcentral. Lineage: Eukaryota; Viridiplantae; Streptophyta; Magnoliopsida; Lamiales; Oleaceae.
ACUGCAUUAAUUGUAAAAACAAAGAUAGAUUAGCAUGUAAAAUUUCGUAUCUUGUGUAGACUACAAACAACACAGUCGCAGUUAGCACGAUAAUUUCUAGAUUGAUGGACGUAGGAGGUUGUCUGUUGAUCUGGUAUGCAUACCAGUCUCAGGAGAUGCCACAGUUCUUACAAUUCUCCAUCUAUUAUAAUAACAUUAAGUGUACUUUAUCUUAGGGUCUUGGACAAUAAUUUUGUAUUACUAUAAAUUAGAGGAUCUGGUUCCAAAGAGAAUCGAACCAAACUAAGUACCAAUGGAUAUCUUAAAAAUGGAACCACUACUUUCGUCUCUAAGAAUGGAACUGGGUCAAACCAUCAUUUCAACAAGGAUAAUCGGCUAUUAUUGUAUUUGUAAUUAAUUAAUUGUUUUGACUCCUAGCUUGACCCGAUUAACUCUUUGACCCUUCACAUUUUGUGGUUCAGACAACUUAAACCACAAUAUUAUUAUUCAUGAUAUGAAAUCUGACAAAAAGAAUAGUCAAAUAACUAAAGAAAUGAAUAAUUUAUCUACAUGCAUCAAGGCAUAAUAUCACUACCUGGAAGGAAGCCAGCAUCCUGACGCUUCUCUGCCCAGGAAAAACUGCAUUAAUUGUAAAAACAAAGAUAGAUUAGCAUGUAAAAUUUCUUAUCUUGUGUAGACUACAAACAACACAGUCGCAGUUAGCACGAUAAUUUCUAGAUUGAUGGACGUAGGAGGUUGUCUGUUGAUCUGGUAUGCAUACCAGUCUCAGGAGAUGCCACAGUUCUUACAAUUCUCCAUCUAUUAUAAUAACAUUAAGUGUACUUUAUCUUAGGGUCUUGGACAAUAAUUUUGUAUUACUAUAAAUUAGAGGAUCUGGUUCCAAAGAGAAUCGAACCAAACUAAGUACCAAUGGAUAUCUUAAAAAUGGAACCACUACUUUCGUCUCUAAGAAUGGAACUGGGUCAAACCAUCAUGUUCGGUCCAAUUCGAUUCCUUCAAUUGAAGUUCUCAAAUUCGCCAACCGAUGCUAGUGGAAUAUCUAUGUUCUCCAACAUCUCUUCAUUAAAAAUGAUUUACGUUAAUGCUAAAUGCAAAAUUACAUAUAUGGUACAUUUGUGUGAUAGUUUAUAUAUAACACCAUAAUGAACCCCGGGCUCAAGUUUAUCAGCUGAUAUACUAGGGAAGUUCGCAAGAAAAUAGUAAUAAAAAAUAAAAAUUCCAUGUUAAUCCGGGCUUUUGGUUCUUGGUAUUAGAAUCGAGAAUAGGAUCCAAACUACCCAAUUCUCGAUUAUAAUACCCAGAACGAUAAGAAAUUGAGUAGAAUCUGACCAUACCGGCACUUCUGGUCCAGUUUUGGUUUAGUCCAACAGUUUCGUUAACUUUUGCCCACCCCCAUAAAUGAAUCACCACGAGAAGGUCAGACUAUACGAUUCUUUGUUUCAAAUCAACCAUAACUCAAAGAUGUUGAUAGAUGAAGCAAAGUGGCAAAGGCAACUUACA